This 331-nucleotide ribosomal RNA is filed under the name uncultured Flavobacterium sp. RNAcentral describes it as "bacterial SSU rRNA". It matches the Rfam family "Bacterial small subunit ribosomal RNA", at positions 1 to 337 of the family's 1533-position model. The record is from RNAcentral. Lineage: Bacteria; Pseudomonadati; Bacteroidota; Flavobacteriia; Flavobacteriales; Flavobacteriaceae.
CAUGGAGUUUGAUCCUGGCUCAGAAUGAACGCUGGCGGCAGGCCUAACACAUGCAAGUCGAGGGGUAUAGUUCUUCGGAGCUAGAGACCGGCGCACGGGUGCGUAACGCGUAUGCAAUCUACCUUUUACAGAGGGAUAGCCCAGAGAAAUUUGGAUUAAUACCUCAUAGUAUGUGAGAAUCGCAUGGUUUUCACAUUAAAGUUCCAACGGUAAAAGAUGAGCAUGCGUCCCAUUAGCUAGAUGGUAAGGUAACGGCUUACCAUGGCAACGAUGGGUAGGGGUCCUGAGAGGGAGACUCCCCCGACACUGGUACUGAGACACGGACCAGACU